RNAcentral lists this ribosomal RNA (468 nucleotides) under uncultured bacterium. RNAcentral describes it as "partial 16S ribosomal RNA". It matches the Rfam family "Bacterial small subunit ribosomal RNA", at positions 28 to 507 of the family's 1533-position model. The record is from RNAcentral.
GACGAACGCUGGCGGCGUGCUUAACACAUGCAAGUCGAACGGAAAGGCCCUGCUCUUGUGGGGUGCUCGAGUGGCGAACGGGUGAGUAACACGUGAGUAACCUGCCCUUGACUUUGGGAUAACUUCAGGAAACUGGGGCUAAUACCGGAUAGGAGCUCCUGCUGCAUGGUGGGGGUUGGAAAGUUUCGGCGGUUGGGGAUGGACUCGCGGCUUAUCAGCUUGUUGGUGGGGUAGUGGCUUACCAAGGCUUUGACGGGUAGCCGGCCUGAGAGGGUGACCGGCCACAUUGGGACUGAGAUACGGCGCAGACUCCUACGGGAGGCAGCAGUGGGGAAUAUUGCACAAUGGGCGGAAGCCUGAUGCAGCAACGCCGCGUGCGGGAUGACGGCCUUCGGGGUGUAAACCGCUUUCGCCUGUGACGAAGCGUGAGUGACGGUAAUGAGUAAAGAAGCACCGGCUAACUACGUG